Long non-coding RNA from Aegilops tauschii subsp. strangulata, 751 nucleotides. RefSeq lists it as uncharacterized. The record is from RefSeq and is a predicted model, not a curated record. NCBI's taxonomy places the organism in Eukaryota, Viridiplantae, Streptophyta, Magnoliopsida, Poales, Poaceae.
GCGCGCGCACACGCAUCCGCGGCGCCGGCCGCGUGUCCGCGGCGACGCCAGCGCGGCACGUCCUCGCCUCGCCUAUAUAUAGGCCUUCCCCGAGCCCUUCGAGCACAGCAUUGGCCUCCCCUCACUCCCAGCUCCCUCCCCAAUCAAUCAGCCGAGCCGGAGGACCUCUCCCCGCUGCCCAUCGCCGCCAUGGCCGCCGUCGGGCUCCGCUCGAAUCCGAGCAGCCCCGAGCUCCUCCCCUCUUUCUUCCACCUCCACUAGACCACCUGGAGUACCCUGAGCCUCCCCAACUCUUCGCUUUCUCUUCUGGUGGCCCGGAGCGCCGUGCCCGCAUCUGCCCGAUGCCACCGUCCGCCGGCCUCAUAGCCACCGCCGCCUCGGUCCUCCUCACCGGCCGCGGCUGGCACCACUAGAUGCGCCUAUCCGCGCUGAGCUCGCCCAUAGGCGGAGCACUGCGGGAGACGCCCGGAGUCGCCGGCAAUCCCCGUCGUGGCCGGCGGUCCUCUGACCAGCGCGGGAGCGAGCGAGGUUGAAGACGAGCCCAGGCCAGGCGGGCCCCAUCGCCCGCAGUCCCCUCGUCAGUGCCUCAGCCGUUGACACCGCCGCGCCACGUCACCCAGGGGCCUGUUUGUAGAGUUUAUUUUACAGAUUGGUUCUGGAUUUCAAACGCUUAUAUCUUUUUGCUCGAGACUCCAAAUGAGCCCCUCCGAGAGAGAACUGUUUCUGGCAAAUUUUUCCGCGGCUUCACCGC